Molecule: long non-coding RNA, 1020 nt
Filed under: Equus asinus (donkey)
Lineage: Eukaryota; Metazoa; Chordata; Mammalia; Perissodactyla; Equidae
Description: lncRNA (ENSEASG00005037307.1)
Source: RNAcentral
GGGAGGGGAGCUGAGGGCAACUCUUGGCCAGCAGACCCUGAGUCAUCCAGGGAAGCCAAGCCAAGCCCAGAGAGGCUGAACCUGGGCAGACAGGUGUCCAGGGCCACCCAGGAGAUAAAAUCUGGGCAGGCUGGAUCCACCGGUGGUUAACAAUGGACAACAGCUGUGGGUCGGCUCCUAUCUACUCUGCCCACCUCGGGCUGUAGCUGCCACACCUUUGGGCCAGAGAAGAGGAUGGACAUAGAAGAAGGACUUGUUUCUCAGGUUGUCUGCCAAGUUUCAGGCUUCAAAAUGUGGCAUACACCACUGCCACCUCUGGGGACCAGAGCACGGCCCAGCCUGCCCUUUGAGGCAGCCAUGAACCUGGGAAAUGCCCCUUUUCCUUUCUUGGUGGUUAACCUUUCCAGGACAUCUUAGGGUGGCCAUCUCAAGCUAAGGUCAGGAAGCUCUGGGGCAGAAGGGGUGAAGAUGUUGCUGGUGAUGAUGAUAAUAAUAACAAUAACAGAGAUGAUGUAGGGAGGAGAAGUGAGCAAUGUGGAAAGAAGACCCGUCUUGCGUGGCAGCUUCAAGCAGCCUGGACACCCUGCUCCUAAUGAUGGAUACCACUUAUUGAAUACCUGGAUGAACCAUGCAUUGUGCUGAGUGCUUGGCAUGUAUCGUGUCAUUUAACCCUCCCCAAAACCCUAUGGAGGUCAUUAUUGUUGUCACAAUGUCCUUUAAGCAGCUUGCCUAAGGUCACGUAGCUGGAUGGAAAAAGUGCCAAAUUUUCUGGAGGCUCACCAUCCCUCUGGCAGAGAGUAAAGCACACAGAAGAGCCAGAGAACCCCUCCUGGGAGGAUGGAAGAUACCAGUCAGGACUCACAUAGCGUCCAGGGAUGGAGGGCAAGAUGGCAGAGGGCAAAAGGAAGGAGCCACUGGAAUGCUUCCAAGUCCUCUGAAGCUUCCGGAUGAAGGCUGAGGUAUUUCUGUGAAGGAAAUGCUGACCAGAGUUUCCUCUUCUUAGAGAAGUUCAUGUUUUUC